CGGGGCGUGGCGCAGUCGGGUAGCGCACCUGCUUUGGGAGCAGGGGGUCGGAGGUUCAAAUCCUCUCGCCCCGACCA
RNAcentral lists this transfer RNA (77 nucleotides) under Actinomycetota bacterium. Its description in RNAcentral is "tRNA-Pro". It matches the Rfam family "tRNA". Rfam says of the family: Transfer RNA (tRNA) molecules are approximately 80 nucleotides in length. Their secondary structure includes four short double-helical elements and three loops (D, anti-codon, and T loops). The record is from RNAcentral. Lineage: Bacteria; Bacillati; Actinomycetota.